GGAAACGCGGGGCCAGAAGCGGGGGGAAGAGGGGGGGGGCAAGCGGUGGCCGGAUGUAUUGGGCGUGAAGGGCGGGUAGGCGGCUAGGUAGGUCCGGUGUGAAAACUCGAGGCUCAACCUCGAGACGCCGAUGGAAACCAUCUGGCUAGAGUCCGGAAGAGGAGAGUGGAAUUCCUGGUGUAGCGGUGAAAUGCGCAGAUAUCAGGAAGAACACCCGUGGCUAAGGCGGCUCUCUAGUACGGUACUGACGCUGAGACGCGAAAGCGUGGGGAGCGAACAGGAUUAGAUACCCGGGUAGUC
Molecule: ribosomal RNA, 300 nt
Filed under: uncultured Vagococcus sp.
Lineage: Bacteria; Bacillati; Bacillota; Bacilli; Lactobacillales; Enterococcaceae
Description: partial 16S ribosomal RNA
Rfam family: Bacterial small subunit ribosomal RNA (bases 52-300)
Source: RNAcentral